GCCGGAUCUGUGAACAUAAAGGUGCUCCUGAGUUUGUGAGACCUGAAAACCUGGUGGAUUUCUUGGCACAGAAGAGUAGAUCAUACCUCUGCUCUCAGGUAUGUAGGCACUCCUGGUGACUGGAUUUUAGCUCUCCGCCCAGGCAGAAACUGGAAGGGUUCUGCCCCUGACUGCUCCUAGGUCCCUUUGCUCAGGGAGCAUAGAUGGUACUAGGCAAUUUCCUCUUGGUUCAAGAAUGUGGGCAGAGAGUAUAUCCAAAUUACAAAAUCAGGAAUGAAAAGGGAGACCUGACAAAAGAAUCUGAGGAAAUUAAAAAAACUCAUCAGAUUCUACUACAAAAACCUAUAUUCAACAAAACUGGAAAAUGUGGAGGAAAUGGACAAUUUUUCUAGACAGAUACAAGGCACCACAGUUAAAUCCAGAACAAAUAAACCAUCUAAACAACCCCAUAACUCCUAAAGAAAAAGAAGCAGUUAUUAAAAGUCUCCCAUCCAAAAAGACCCACGACCAGAUGGGUUUAGUGCAGAAUUCUAUCAGACCUUCAUAGAAGACCUCAUACCAAUAGUGUCCAAACUAUUCCACAAAUUCGAAACAGAGGGAGCACUAUCAAAUUCCUUCUACAAAGCCAUAAUUACUCUUUUAUCUAAACCACACAAAGAUACAACAAAGAUAGAGAACUUAAGACCAAUUUCCUUUAUGUAUAUUGAUGCAAAGAUACUCAAUAAAAUUCUUGCAAACCGAAUCAAAGAACAUGUCAAGAGGAUCAUCCAUCAAGAUCAAGUAGGCUUCAUCACAGGGAUGCAGGGAUAGUUUUAUAUACAGAAAUCCAUCAACGAAAUCCACCAUAUAAACAAACUCAAAGGAAAAACCACAUGAUUAUUCUAUUAGAUGGUGAGAAAUCGUUUGACAAAAUUCAAAACCCUUUCAUGAAUAAAGUCCUGGAAAGAUCAAGAAUUCAAGCCCAUAUCUAAACAUAGUAAAAGCAAAUUAUGGCAAACCAGUACCUAACAUCAAACUAAAUUGGGAGAAACUUGAAGCAAUUCCACUAAAAUCCAGGACUAGACAAGGCUGCCUACUGUCUCCCUACUUAUUCAAUACAGUACUUGAAGUCCUAACCAGAGAGCAAUCAGAAAAUGAAAGGAGGUCAAAGGGAUACAAAUUGGAUGGGAAGAAGUCAAAAUACUAAUAUUUGAACAUGAUAUGGUAGUAUACUUAAGUGACCCCAAGAGUUCCACCAGAGAACUACUUAACAUGAUCAACAACUUCAGCAAAGUGUCAGGGUAUAAAAUUAACUCAAACAAUUCAGUAGCCUUCCUCUACUCAAAGGAUAAACAGGCUGAGAAAGAAAUUAGGGAAAUGACACCCUUCACAAUAGUCCCAAAUAAUGUAAAAUAUCUUGCUAUUACUUUAACCAAGAAAAUGAAAGAUCUGUAUGAUGAGAACUUAAAGUUUCUGAAGAAAGAAAUUGAAAAAGAUCUCUGAAGAUGGAAAGAUCUCCCAUGCUCAUGGAUUGGCAGGAUGAAUAUGGUAAAAAUGGCCAUUUUGCCUAAAGCAAUCUACAGAUUCAGUGUCAUCCCCAUCAAAAUUCCUAUGCAAUUCUUUAAAGAGGUAGAAAGAGCAAUUUGCAGGUUCAUUCGGAAUAACAUAAAACCCACGAUAGCAAAAACUAUACUCAACAAUAAAAGAACUUCUGGGGGAAUCACCAUCCCUGCCUUCAAGCAGUAUUACAGAGCAAUAGUUUGUAUGGUAUUGGCACAAAGGCAGGCAGAUCAGUGGAACAGAAUUGAAGACCCAGAAAUGAACCCACACACCUAUGGUCAUUUGAUCUUUGACAAAGUAGCUAAAACCAUCCAAUGGAAGAAAGAUAGAAUUUUCAACAAAUGGUGCUGGUUCGACUGGAGGUCAGCAUGUAGAAGAAUGCAAGUUGACCCAUUCUUAUCACCCUGUACAAAGCUUAAGUCCAAGUGGAUCAAGGGCCUCCACAUCAAACCAGAUACACUCAAACUAAUAGGAAAAAAAGUGGGGGAAGAGUCUCGAACACAUGGACACUGGAGAAAAUUUCCUGAACAAAAGACCAAUGGCUUAUGCUUUAAGAUCAAGAAUCGACAAAUGGGACCUCAUAAAACUGCAAAGCUUCUGUAAGGCAAAGGACACUGUCAUAAGGACAAAAUGGCAACCAACAGAUUGGGAAAAAAAUCUUCACCAAUCCUGCAUCUUAUAGAAGGCUAAUAUCCAAAAUAUACACAGAACACAAGAAGUCAGACUCUAGAGAGCCAAAUAACCCUAUUAAAAAAUAGAGUACAUAGCUAAACGAAACAUUCUCAGCUGAGGAAUAUCGAAUGGCUGAUAAGCACCUAAAGAAAUGUUCCACAUCCUUAGUAAUCAAGGAAAUGCAAAUCAUAACAACCCUGUGGUUCUACCUCACACCAGUCAGAAUGGCUAAGAUCAAAAACUCAGGUAACAACAGAUGCUGGCGAGGAUGUGGAGAAAGAGGAACACUCCUCCAUUGUUGCUGGCAUUGCAAACUGGUACAACCACUCUGGAAAUCAGUCUGGAGGUUCCUCAAAAAAUUGGACACUCUUCUACCUGAGCACCCAGCUAUACCUCUCCUGGGCAUGUACCCAUAAGAUGCUCCAACAUACAAUAAAGACACAUACUCUGCUCUAUUCAUAGCAGCCUUAUUUAUAAUAGUCAGAAGCUGGAAAGAACCCAGAUGCCCUUCAACAGAUGAAUAGAUUUGAAAAAUGUUGUAUGUCUACACAAUGGAGUACUACUCAGCUAUGAAAAACAAUGACUACAUGAAAUUCAUAGGCAAAUGGAAAGAACUAGAAAAUAUCAUCUUCAGUGAGGUAACCCAAUCACAGAAUAACACACAUGGUAUGCACUCAUUGAUAAGUGGAUAUUAGCCCAAAACCUCGAAUUACCCAAGAUGCAAUCUACAGACAUCAGGAAGCUCAAGAAGAAGGAUGACCAAAAUGUGGAUGCUUCUACUCCUUAAAAGGGGGAACAAAAAUAUCCAUAGGAGGGGAUAUGGAGGCCAAGUUUAAAACAGAGACUAAAGGAACGACCGUUCAGAGCCUGCUCAGCACAUGCCCCCCCCAUAUAUGUGUGUGUGUGUGUGUGUGUGUGUUUGUGUGUGUGUGUGUGUGUGUGUGUGUGUGUGUGUGUGUGUAAGUAUGUAUAUCCACCAAAACUAGAUAAGAUUGAUGAAGCUAAAAAGUGCUUGCUGGAAGGGUCCAGAUAUAGAUCUCUCCUGAGAGAUACAUCAGGGUAUGUCAAAUAAAGAGGUCAGUGCUAGCAGCAAACCACUGAACUGAGAACAGGACCCCACUUGUGGAAAUUAGAGGAAGGAUUGAGAGAGCUGAAGGUGCUUGCAAUUCCAUAAGAACAACAAUGCCAACCAACUAAACCAAUAGCAAAAGACUAUACAUGGACUGACCCAGGGCUCCACCUGCAUAUGUAGGAGAGAAUAGCCUUCUUGGGGCACCAGUGGAAGGGAAGCCCUUGGUGCUGACAAGGUUGGACCCUCAGUGCAGGGGAAUGUCGGGGAGUUGUAAGGGGAGUGGUUUGGGAGACUGUCCAUAUCGGGGAGGGAGACAGGAUGGGGGCUUAUGGACUGGAAACCAGGUAAGAGAAUAAUAUUUGAAAUGUAAAUAAAGAAAUAUAUCUAUGAAAAAAACUAAAAUUAAAAAAACAAGAUAAAAAUUACUAAGAAGCAAUCAAAAAAAGAAAAUGUGAACAAAAAAAGAAAUUUUAGGAUUUGGAGAAAGAUGAAUGCCAGGUAUAUUAUAUAAUAUAACUAUAUUACCACGAUCCACACUUUAAUAUACUUGAGAACAACUGCAUCUGUUUUUGUUUUGUUUGUUUGUUUUUUAAAUAGUUAAUGGAAAUACAGUCCCUUCCUGUCUGUGAGACUAGGGAUCCAGAUGUAGUGGAAUUCAUUAUUUGUUGAGUCCCGAACCUUUGAGCCUGCUUCUAGCACAGCUUAAGGCAAGGAAACAGAGCAAGGUAAUAUCUAAGCCAUUGACCAAACGAUCUGGAGUAACAAUUACAGGUGAAAUUCUUCUUUGUAAAUGAGAGGAGAGCUAUAAAGGAUACCUUUUAGAUUUAAAACAAAUGAAAUGUACCCACCAAAAAUCCAAUAAAAAAGUUAAAAUUAAAAAAAAAAAACUAGGAAAUACAAAAGAUUCGGGUGCAAUUCCACAAUCAUGAUGUGUUUCUUCUGUGAUAGCAUACAGGUUAACUUACUUCUCUAUGACUGUUUUCUUAUUUGAAAGUAAGUAAUGGGGUCAUCUAUGGAGUGGUUGGUAAGAACAAAAGCUUUGCCUAACUUGAAUAAUAGGUCCCUCCAGAGCAUGUGCUUAACAGUCUAGGUACAGAGAAAUUUGCUGAGGGGACUAAAAACAAAACCAAACAUAAAACAGGAACAACAAUGAUUUAACAAAAUUCUGCAUGCUGGAAUUGAAGGCAUGUUGCAACUUUAAUCAGGUUUGUAGGUAUUUCUAAUAAACAAACAAAGAAAUAAAAAUCGUAUUACACUUCUAGCAGUUGCAUCCAAGAGAGAGAGAGCUGUGAGGUAGUGUGUGCUGCUACUUUCCACAGAUACACCUGGGCCUCAGGCCUGCCCUCAGUGAGCUGGACCUAAAAGCAGCCUAGUUGAAAUUCCUGCUGCCAUGGCAGGAUUCUGCAAGAACAUUUUCCUUUGACAACAAGGGGCCUUUGUGGAGGAGACUUCUUGGUGGGUUCUCAAGGACUCUGCAUGUCUUAUUCUACAAAGAGAAGCCAAGCCAGGACUUUUAGCAAGGCCAGCCAGUUGUUUGGGGAAGUCUCUGGUCCUGUGGCAGAGGGUGAGGAAUGGUUGAAAAAAUGUCGGCUCUGCUGAGAGCAAAGGAUAACCUUCUAGAACUAUGACCUCCUAAUUCAGGACAUUCCACUCCCUGCCCAUCCUCCUGAUUCUUAUGUUUGCUACGAGUAAAAGAUCCUGGUGCAGCCCCAAUAUACUCAUGCCUAGACUUGGAAAUUCAGGAAGAAUGAUAUUUGAGAAGUAAUGGCUAUGUGGUUACAAUGUAGUAACACAGGGUCCAGGUUGACGUUUGCUUACUGAUGUCCCAUUUAAUUGUCUUUUUAUAUUUGAGAAAGGGAGGAUGUCCAACUUAAUAUAUAAAAGAGACAUAAAGUUAUAAUUUUAUAUAUGCCCUGUAGUUGAUCCCUACGAUCCCAAGAAAAGGGAGUGAUUAUUUCAAAAAGUAGGAUUAUAGACCAUUGAUUUUGUGAAAUACAUAGAUGUGUAUAUGGAAACAAUGCCAGCUGUCUAGGACUGCACAUUAAGCAAAUAUUACCAGGUUUUAUAUAGUCAAAUGUAUAGGAGAAAGCUAUUGGCCUCUAGAAAACAGGGAAAACCUUGGGAUUCAAAAUUUAUGUCACAUGCGUUGUCUCAGGUGGUAGAUUUAUUUUUAAGAAAAAUCUCCCUUAUCCAUGCUCCCUAGAGAUUUGGGUGCUAACAAAAAUCUCUUAUCAAUUCAGGGUUGUAACCAACUCUUCCCAUUAAAAGAAUUGAUGACUUCCAAUGAAGCAGAGAGAAAUAUCUAGCUUUGGAGUAGAGGUUGUCAAAGGGUUUUCCCUGAGUCACAUGAGAGACUGCAGGGAAAGGCCCCUACGGAAACUGAUCAAUUUGCGGAGAGCUAGUUAGCAGGUUUCGGUAGGAAGGCAUCAUCCUGAAAUGAUAUCAGUAAGCAAGAGAAGCGUCUAAAGAAAUUGGAAGAACUAAAAUUUGAAACCCAGAAGUGUAAAUUCCAGAGGGAUGUACUUUCUCAAAUCCUGGACCUUUAUAUCUAUGAAGAUUGGGACUAUAGGCUGGAUGUUGAAUUGCCUAUACUUCAAUCUGAACGUGGGAUGAGAAUGAUGGCUGUGCAUUAAAUGAACAACUCAAUAUGUGACGCCAUGGAGAAGUACAAGGAGCUCAUACAAGAGAACAAUUCCUACACAUCAGGCACUUCCAGCUCCUGCGUGAACGGACUCCAUAGAAGAACAAUAUAAAGAUUUUGCUGAAUGAGAACAAAAAACUGAUGGUGGAGCAGACUGUUCUGCCAGCAUUCUGUGUGGAGGCAAAGAGGUUCUGUGAAGAGGCCGGAAUGAACAUCUGUGUCCCCAGAGCCAAGCAGUUGCAGGUCCAGCAAGUAUCUGCAUAGCAAGAUUUCCUGAAGUGGAAAUGAGUACAGGCCAGGGCAGCACAGCCUGCUUGACUGUAAGAGACUUGUACAUAACAUAGCUCCCACUAAUUCUUCAUUCAACAGAAAACCUGCUGGAUAAAAGCCUUGGGCACGAAGUCAUUCAAGUUAAGGUAAAGAGAGCUGCUAUUAGAAGAAGCUGCACACUUUGGGGGCAAGCCUGAAACAGUGGCCAAGAACAGAGUCUAAUCCACCACCAACAUAUGAUCCUUUGCUGGGAAACAAGCCUGAUCUACACAGCCUUGGGAACGAGCUAAGCCAGAUUGGGGAAUAAGGCAAGAACCAUGAUUCUAUGUUGGUUUAUGGGAGGACAGCACAACACUGACUGAGUUGUUUAUAGGCUAUAGGCUAUGCCUGCUAUGUACAUAUCCCACUCAACAUUUGUUUUUAUGCCUUCAGAGAAUCCUGGGGGGUCUUUAUAUUAAGGAUUACCUCAGAAAGUAAACACUUGACUGCAAUGUACUAUGCUUAUAUUGUGUGAACACACAUGUGUUGUGUGUUUGGGAGUGUGUAUUAGUGUUUCUGUGUGUCUGUGUGUGUUUGUAUGUGCACACAGGUAUGCAUGCCUCCACUGACAUUACACUCAUCUAAUGACCAGAAUAAGGAAGGAUUAGAGGAAACAAUGCAGGACACUCUGAAGCAGAGAGAACUGAUCACCCAGGAAAGUGACUUGGGAGAAACAGUGUAGAAGAAUUGUGACAUCUUUGAGAUCAGGUCUAAAAUUCUCCAGCGAAACUCGAACAUGGCAUAGACCAGAACAAGAUCUCCCUUGGAGAGCAGUGCCACAGGAGGAGUCUAAGUGUGCACAACAAAUACACCACUAUUACAUCGCAUCCUUAAUAUCCAUAGCAGUUGUGGGCUGCAUUUUCCUACUUUAGUUUGAUUUCUUUGGAUUGAAUAGGCCAUACUUUCAUCUCGGCUCUCCCGAGCAAGCGUGCACAUUUGGAAGGACUCAGAGAAGAGCUGAUGCACAUCAAUCGAGAACUGCUGAGCAUCCAGGAAGAGUGUGCACAUGUACAUUUGUACUUGUCCUGAAGGGUCACCCAGAAGAGUUUCAUGGAGAUCAGUCCACAACAUUGGAAAAACUUUGAGUCAAAGACUGUCAUAUGUUUUAUACUCAGUAUUGGAUGGCUUUGUCCUUCAUACCCUCACUCCAACAAGGCAGACCUACUUACAUUCCCCUUGAAAAGAUUAUUACCAUCAGUAACUGCUUGUCUACUGUGUUUCCAAGGCAAGUCAUUGGCUAUAAGUCAAUUCUGCAAACGAGCAUCAAAAGAAUGCUUAGGACAAUUCCUCUGUUUACAUUUUGGUUUGACUUUUGAUUACUUUGGUUAUUUGGUUUUCCUUAUAUUCAUUUGAAGUUUUGCUAUUUAUUCAUUGUUGUUUUGUUCAUUCAUUUGAUUUGCUAUUUUGAUAAGGAUACAAACUGUAUAUAUUGACUACCUGCAUCUGGAUACUAUUGAUGUAUUCUGGUGAAUAAAAGAGUGAUCUCAAACUCUCAA
Non-coding RNA from Rattus norvegicus (Norway rat), 7729 nucleotides. The record is from RefSeq and is a predicted model, not a curated record. NCBI's taxonomy places the organism in Eukaryota, Metazoa, Chordata, Mammalia, Rodentia, Muridae.